This 750-nucleotide long non-coding RNA is filed under the name Linum usitatissimum (flax). RNAcentral's name for it is "long non-coding RNA (LUSI_LNC002167)". The record is from RNAcentral. Lineage: Eukaryota; Viridiplantae; Streptophyta; Magnoliopsida; Malpighiales; Linaceae.
GGAGGUUUUCUCAGCUUCAAUUUCUUCCAUAGUUGCAAACCUCACAAAUCGGUCACUAAAUUAAAACAUGUAAACCAAACAUAAACAUAUUUUAUCAAAAUGAAUAGACAGUAUACAAAACUUAGGUGACAGAACAGCCAUUAAUCCGAUCAAAUUCAAAAAAAGGAAAUGAACUCGAAGCUAAGCUACACAUUCCUCACAUCUUCUGCGACAAUCGCUUCAGAACAAUUGGCUUCCCCCAAACUUUUGCAGCGCAGCUCCCCUUGCUAGCAGGGGAGCUACAGAAGCCGAGAGAAGCAGUGGUGGUGUAGGAAUGAUGCGGCGCCGCGUGGCACAAGCCUGCCGAUACACUACACAUGUUACACAUUGCGGUAAACAAAAAAGAACUCAAUUCUCGAGCGCCAGAGAAGUAGAAAGAGUGAAAUGAAAACCUGGAGUGGCGGCAGAGUUAAUGUGGUUGGCAUGAAGAACAGAGCGAAGGGAGAAGGGAGACGCCAUGAAAGCUUCAGAACGAAGAACGAGUAAGAAGUGUGAGCUGGGAAAGAAAUGGGUGUGGAUAAGAGCUAUUUUGUUCUUUGACGCUUCAGAGACUGAAAAUUAUGACAAGAUGAAGUGUCGUAUCAAGGCCCGACUUCUAACCCAAUAUGAUGGACGACGUGGGCCGUAGCCCGUAGUUGCAUUAUCGAUUGCGCUCUGUUUGGACCGUUGCAAUGCGUUUUCCCCCGGAACAUAGUAACACGGCCACGUUUG